This 301-nucleotide ribosomal RNA is filed under the name uncultured bacterium. Its description in RNAcentral is "partial 16S ribosomal RNA". It matches the Rfam family "Bacterial small subunit ribosomal RNA", at positions 509 to 807 of the family's 1533-position model. The record is from RNAcentral.
CAGUAGCCGCGGUAAUACGUAGGGGGCAAGCGUUAUCCGGAUUUACUGGGUGUAAAGGGAGCGUAGACGGAAUGGCAAGUCUGAAGUGAAAUGCCCGGGCUCAACCCGGGAACUGCUUUGGAAACUGUCGAUCUGGAGUGUUGGAGAGGUAAGUGGAAUUCCUGGUGUAGCGGUGAAAUGCGUAGAGAUCAGGAAGAACACCGGAGGCGAAGGCGGCUUACUGGACAGAGACUGACGUUGAGGCUCGAAAGCGUGGGAAGCAAACAGGAUUAGAUACCCCUGUAGUCCCUGUCUCUUAUAC